Molecule: long non-coding RNA, 632 nt
Organism: Ornithodoros turicata
Lineage: Eukaryota; Metazoa; Arthropoda; Arachnida; Ixodida; Argasidae
Exons: 5
Source: RefSeq, a predicted model, not a curated record
UUAUUAGUAGAAAAGAAUAAUAUUUCAAUUUUUGGAAAACUUCAUUAGCGUUAACGAAUGUUAUUUUGGAAUUCUUAUAUUUGUAUUUUGUGCGUUCCUGCUCCCGUGAUGAAUGAUGCGUUCACUGUGCAACGGUCGCUUGCUUAGCGGCUUGCCUGUACAACGCUUUUUUGCUCGUUAUUAGCGUGAUGUGUGACACAGGCGUUGGUUUUAUAAUCGAAAGGAUUUGUCUGUAAGUUACGACAGUGCGACAGUACAAUGAGCGCCAGCGGCCGGGCGGGCGGGUGUUAUAGGAUUACAGCAGGACUACAACUGUGGAUACCGCUUUAUCAAACCUUAAGCUGCUUGGGCUCAAAGAAAAAUGUCGAUCCAUCGUGUGCUAUUAAGAACAUCUCACAUACUUUGUUGAAUGAUUCAAGAUGACCACGAGUUCUUUGGAUCUGUCGUUGCUGGGAACAGCGAUCCUGCGAAGUGGCACUGGUUGCCUACCAGCUAGCCUCUGUCCGAGCAGGCCACUUCACCGUUACUUGAAGCUGCUGCCGGCUAAAAGAAGCUGAGCAAGCUCCGUGCGCAUAUGCCCACUGAUAUAACCUGGAGAGAUGGUCACUUCUGGGCACACCAUCCUUCCUGAC